Molecule: long non-coding RNA, 1295 nt
Filed under: Citrus sinensis (sweet orange)
Lineage: Eukaryota; Viridiplantae; Streptophyta; Magnoliopsida; Sapindales; Rutaceae
Description: long non-coding RNA (CSIN_LNC000393)
Source: RNAcentral
AUACUUCAACUCAAACGGCAUCACCUCUGCUCAAACAAACAAAUACUCAUCCUCCAUUCUCAAUUCCCUCACCAGCAUCAUCUCUACUCAAACAAACAUUCAUUCUCUAUACAUGCUAAAUAGAACAUCAAUACGAGCAAACUGAGCUUGAGAAUGAGAAGAUGCCACAACUGAGAAAGAGAAGCCUAGUUUGUCACUACACAAUCGCUGGCGAGAGCUAAUCCUUUACUCCAAAAUUGUCAGAAUGUAACUACUUGAGGUAAGUAAUUCCUUGUAAUUAGUUUUCUUGUUGAUAUUUAGGGAAAAAAACAAAAAUUUAGAGUUUUAUAUUGAAAAAAUAGAUUAAUUAGUUGUGGGUCUCUUAUAACAUGUUCAAAAACAAAUUCUAGUUGUUUUGCUACAUGCAAAUUGUGAAAAUUUGAUGGAUUAUGCCGAUUAUAAUUUCAUCAUAUAACACACGACUUGGUCGUGUAAGGUUAUAUAAGAUUCAAGUUUGUGUAUUACACGACCUUUAUGUAUUGCACGAUUACAUGACCUUCAUGUAUUGCACGAUUACACGACUGUCAUGUAUUGCACAUUACACUACUUUUAUGUAUUACACGAUCUUUAUGUAUUACUUCUAAAUAGUUGAGUAUUGUUUUUUGAAUUGAUUAAGAAUUUUUUCUUGAGGUUUGAUUUAUUUUUAUUAUUUCUAAAUAGCUGAGUAUUGUUUUUUGAAAUUUUGAUGAGAUUUUGGAAACUUGCCAUUUUUUAGGGUGAAAGAAAUUUUGUUUCCAGAUUGAGGGGUAAAAAGUUCAUCAUCUCUCAAGUGUGUCUUCUGUGAUAUAUAUAUGUGUGUGUGUGUGUGUGUGUGUGUGUGUGUGUGUGUGUGUGUGUGUGUGUGUGUGUGUGUGUGUGUGUGUGUGUGUGUGUGUGUGUGUGUGUGUGUGUGAUUUAAUUUUUUGUUUCUUGUCAAUAGAAUAUACACAUUACAUUUAGUUUAAUUAGGCUCACAAUUGGGGACAAUAAAUUGGAAUGAUGUAGAUGCCUUUAUCUUGUGGAACGUCAUUACUUAUAGAGAUCCUAAAUUUUCAAUUAUAAGCCAUGGUAAGUCAUGGUAUGUCUAGUUAUGAGUUCUUAGUGGAAACACUUUGAUCACUGCAAAUGGUGUUCUUCUGUGUAUUUAAUUGUAGUUAAUUUCCUAUAAUUGAUAUGCUUUUUUCUUAAUUGAUUUUAUGGGAUUAUUAUAUGCAGACAGUCUUCAUGUAUGCAUGUGCUUGGGAAGAAGAAGAAAGCACUUUCAAGAUUAAAAAAAG